Molecule: ribosomal RNA, 497 nt
Filed under: uncultured bacterium
Lineage: Bacteria
Description: partial 16S ribosomal RNA
Rfam family: Bacterial small subunit ribosomal RNA
Source: RNAcentral
GACGAACGCUGGCGGCGUGCCUAAUACAUGCAAGUAGAACGCUGAAGAGAGGAGCUUGCUCUUCUUGGAUGAGUUGCGAACGGGGGAGUAACGCGUAGGUAACCUGCCUUGUAGCGGGGGAUAACUAUUGGAAACGAUAGCUAAUACCGCAUAACAAUGGAUGACACAUGUCAUUUAUUUGAAAGGGGCAAUUGCUCCACUACAAGAUGGACCUGCGUUGUAUUAGCUAGUAGGUGAGGUAAUGGCUCACCUAGGCGACGAUACAUAGCCGACCUGAGAGGGUGGUCCGGCCAAACUGGAAUGGGAAACCGCCCCGACCUCUUACGGGGGCAACAGUUGGGAAAUUUUGGCAAAUGGGGCAACCCUGACCGAGCAACGCCGCGCGAGUGAAGAAGGUUUUCGGAUCGUAAAGCUCUGUUGUAAGUCAAGAACGGGUGUGAGAGUGGAAAGUUCACGCUGUGACGGUAGCUUAACAGAAAGGGACGGCUAACUACGUG